RNAcentral lists this ribosomal RNA (484 nucleotides) under uncultured bacterium. RNAcentral's name for it is "partial 16S ribosomal RNA". It matches the Rfam family "Bacterial small subunit ribosomal RNA", at positions 30 to 507 of the family's 1533-position model. The record is from RNAcentral.
AUUGAACGCUGGCGGCAGGCCUAACACAUGCAAGUCGAGCGGAUGAAGGGAGCUUGCUCCUGGAUUCAGCGGCGGACGGGUGAGUAAUGCCUAGGAAUCUGCCUGGUAGUGGGGGAUAACGUCCGGAAACGGGCGCUAAUACCGCAUACGUCCUGAUGGAGAAAGUGGGGGAUCUUCGGACCUCACGCUAUCAGAUGAGCCUAGGUCGGAUUAGCUAGUUGGUGGGGUAAAGGCCUACCAAGGCGACGAUCCGUAACUGGUCUGAGAGGAUGAUCAGUCACACUGGAACUGAGACACGGUCCAGACUCCUACGUGAGGCAGCAGUGGGGAAUAUUGGACAAUGGGCGAAAGCCUGAUCCAGCCAUGCCGCGUGUGUGAAGAAGGUCUUCGGAUUGUAAAGCACUUUAAGUUGGGAGGAAGGGCAGUAAGUUAAUACCUUGCUGUUUUGACGUUACCAACAGAAUAAGCACCGGCUAACUUCGUG